CUUUCUCAGUGCCCCCAGAGAGAAUCCAUCUCACAUAUAUUCCACUGUUUUUGCUUUUCAAUCUAUGCUUAUCAGCCUGAGAGGAGAUGGUCUGGAAAGGAGGCCUUCUCUGAUGUUCUGAUUAAACCUGGUUGUGAGACAAGCACUGUUAGGCUGCACCUGAGCUUUAUGGCUUUCACCACUGUUCCCACUCUUCCUCCAGCUGUAAUUUGAGUCUAGCAUGUUUUCCUGCCUAUUUCUAAGAGGGUGGGAGCAAUAUCCUUUCCAACUUUCUACAUCACUGAGCUCCUAGCUGACAUUUUAAAAGAUUCUUUAAAUGUACUCAAGAAUAUCGCUAAGAUUAGACUGUCUUUACUCAGCUCAAAGAGCAUCAUGAUUUGCAGUGAUACCACAGAUUUGGAAAUAGGUUUCUUCCAAGAAAAUUCAUCUUUCUGGAAAGGAGAUAUAACAAAAACCUUCCCCACAGAAUGAUUGUGAAACUGAAGUGAGAUCGUGUUCCUGAAGGGCUCAGCAUGGUCGCCAAGCCCCAAGAUGCAAUACUCUGUGGCUAUUAAUUUUUAGGAUCAUUAUUGAGCACAGCAUUUUUAUACCUUCGAUCUUAAUUGUAUCUUUCAUUAAUAUGAAAUAAAUUUCACA
This 636-nucleotide long non-coding RNA is filed under the name Vulpes vulpes (red fox). RNAcentral describes it as "lncRNA (ENSVVUG00000014187.1)". The record is from RNAcentral. Lineage: Eukaryota; Metazoa; Chordata; Mammalia; Carnivora; Canidae.